This 253-nucleotide ribosomal RNA is filed under the name uncultured Novispirillum sp. RNAcentral's name for it is "partial 16S ribosomal RNA". It matches the Rfam family "Bacterial small subunit ribosomal RNA", at positions 524 to 776 of the family's 1533-position model. Lineage: Bacteria; Pseudomonadati; Pseudomonadota; Alphaproteobacteria; Rhodospirillales; Novispirillaceae. The record is from RNAcentral.
UACGGAGACCUCGAGCGUUACUCGGAAUUACUGGGCGUAAAGCGUGCGUAGGCGGCUUUGUCAGUCAGAGGUGAAAUCCCGGGGCUCAACCUCGGAAUUGCCUUUGAUACUGCGAAGCUUGAAUGCGAGAGAGGGUGGUGGAAUAUCCAGUGUAGAGGUGAAAUUCGUAGAUAUUGGAUGGAACACCAGUGGCGAAGGCGGCCACCUGGCUCGUUAUUGACGCUGAGGCACGAAAGCGUGGGGAGCAAACAGG